Molecule: long non-coding RNA, 863 nt
Organism: Zingiber officinale
Lineage: Eukaryota; Viridiplantae; Streptophyta; Magnoliopsida; Zingiberales; Zingiberaceae
Exons: 3
Source: RefSeq, a predicted model, not a curated record
AUCUCACACACAAUGGCGGAGGCAAGGGGGCACGGGGGUGUGCGGAAGCACCCCCUUGCUCCCGGAAAUUCCACCAACGACGUCCACCAAGGAUCUCAUUCCUUCCUCCUCCCGAUCGUUCCCUCUCCUCCGAUCUCGACACCAGAGCUCCCAUCGAACCCUACCUCCGUUGCAAACUUCAAUGAGAUGGAGGUGGACGGCGACAAUAGAGAUGUGGCCGACGAGUAGGAUGGCCGAGACGGUGGGGGAGAAGAGGAAGUGAAUAUCAAAUUGGAGGUUUGUAAGUGUGGUAAGACGUUCCAAGCCUCCAACUACAUUCCGUACCUGGAUAAUUGGAAGGCCAUCAAGAAGCUCUAGUCACGACAACUCAUGGAGCACUGAGAGAAACAUUGCCCCAAGCCUAGCCUCAGGUAUCUUGUGUCGCUACCGUGGAGGUACAAUGUGUCGGUUCCAUGGCCCAAGAGCAGAGAUAUGGUGAGAUUGAUUCUUGGAAUCUUCUAGCCAUCAAUGGGGGAGGGCACACAAGGGGUCCUUGAUGUUGGUUGUGGUGUUGCAAGCUUUGGUGGAUAUUUAAGGGAUAGGAUCCGAUACAAUUUGCAUUAGAGUGUGGUAUUCCAGCCUUUUUAUCGGUGGGAAGCUACUAGAGCUCAAUAAGAUUCUUAGACCUGGAGGUUUCUUUGUUUGGUCUCCAACACAUGUUUACCGCUACUGAGAGGGACCAAAGCAUCUGGAAGUGUAGUGACAUUUGUCAAUUUCUUUAAAUUUCAUGAUCUCCUUUGUCAUCAACAAUACUACGUGGCUUUCGGAAGCUACACUAUCUUAAAUUUUUAACUAGCACCCUUUUAAAUUUUUGUCUGGAUCCG